This 1250-nucleotide ribosomal RNA is filed under the name Hydrothassa fairmairei. Its description in RNAcentral is "16S ribosomal RNA". The stretch from base 1042 to 1200 matches the Rfam family "Archaeal large subunit ribosomal RNA", at positions 2542 to 2701 of the family's 2987-position model. Lineage: Eukaryota; Metazoa; Arthropoda; Insecta; Coleoptera; Chrysomelidae. The record is from RNAcentral.
UUGAAAUUUUUUAAUUAUUAUUUAUUUUAAUUUAAAUUUUAUUAAAAUAAGAAAAUUUUAUUUUAUUAUAAAAUAGAAAAAAUUAAUUUUAUUAUAGUUAAUUAUUAUUGAGAAAGAAUUUUAUAAUUAUAAAAAAGAAAAAUUUAUUUUUUGUACCUUGUGUAUCAGGGUUUAUUAAUAAAUGAUUAAAAUUAAUUUAUCUCGAAUUUAAAAGAGCUAAAAAAUUAUAUUUUUUAUUAUAAAAUAAAUAUUAAUAAUAAUUUUUUAGUAAUGAAAUGUUAUUCGUUUUUAAAAUUAUCUAGUUUUUUAAGAAAUAAAUUAAAUUUAUUUAUUAAUAAAUAAAAAUUUAAAUUUUUAAAUUUUUAUUAUUAAUAUUUAAUAUUUUUAGGGAUGAGCUUAAAAAUAAAUUUUUAUUAAUUUAUAAAUUAAAUAAAAUUGUAGAAUUAAAAUUUUUUAUCAAUAAAAAAAUGUUAUAAUUAAUUUAUAAUAAAAAAUUAUUUAUAUUAAUAUAUUAAAUUAUUUAUUAAAAUAUUAAUUUAAAUUAUUUAAAUUAAGUAAUUAUGAUAAAAUUAGUAUAAAUUAAUAUAUAAAUAAAAAUAUUAAAUUUAGGUUAGAUAAAGGAAUUCGGCAAAUUAUUUUUUACCUGUUUAUUAAAAACAUGUCUUUUUGUUAAUAAUUUAAAGUCUGGCCUGCCCAAUGAAUAUUUAAUGGCCGCGGUAUUUUGACCGUGCUAAGGUAGCAUAAUCAAUAGUUUUUUAAUUUAAAGCUGGAAUGAAGGGUUGGAUAAGAAAAUAACUGUCUUUAUUUAAUUUAAUUAGAAUUUUAUUUUUAAGUUAAAAAGCUUAAAUUUAAUUAAAAGACGAGAAGACCCUAUAGAGUUUAAUAAUAAAAUAUAUUUUUAAUUUAAGAAUUUAAUUUAUAAAUAUAUUAAAUUAUUUAAUUGGGGUGAUUAAAAAAUUUAAUUAACUUUUUUUAUAUUUUUACAUUAAUAAAUGAAUUUUUGAUCCAUAAUUAAUGAUUAUAAGAUAAAAUUACCUUAGGGAUAACAGCGUUAUUUUUUUUAAGAGUUCUAAUCGAAAAAAAAGAUUGCGACCUCGAUGUUGGAUUAAAAUUAAUUUUUGGUGUAGAAGCUAAAAUAUUAGGUCUGUUCGACCUUUAAAAUUUUACAUGAUCUGAGUUUAAACCGGUGUAAGCCAGGUUGGUUUCUAUCUUUAAUAAAAAAAAAUAUUUUAGUACGAAAGGAUUAAAUA